RNAcentral lists this RNase P RNA (322 nucleotides) under marine eukaryotic metagenome. RNAcentral describes it as "Bacterial RNase P class A". It matches the Rfam family "Bacterial RNase P class A", at positions 32 to 353 of the family's 367-position model. From Rfam's summary of the family: Ribonuclease P (RNase P) is a ubiquitous endoribonuclease, found in archaea, bacteria and eukarya as well as chloroplasts and mitochondria. The record is from RNAcentral.
ACGCAAGUGGGGAGGAAAGUCCGGACAGCUUAGAGUGCCGCACUCCUCGAAAGGGAGAACCAUCAAACGUGAUGGGAUAGAUAGUGCUAUAGAGAUUUAAACCGCCGAUGGCUCGUAAGAGCACAGGUAAGGCUGAAAAGGUGGAGUAAGAGCCCACCAGUGAUGGAGUGAUCCAUCAGCUUUGGUAAACCUUGCGGGCUGCAAGACCAUGUAAACUAGUGUUUGAGAGCUACUCGCUCGAUGCUAGAGGGUAGGUCGCAUUAGAUCAAUGAUGAAGCUCGGUGUUGUUUAUUCAGCAACGGGAACAGAAUCCGGCUUACAC